GGGCUUGCUUCGGAGGCACAUGCACUAAAAUUGGAUUGAUACAGGGAAGAUUAUCAUGGCCCCUGGGCAAGGAUGACAUGCAAAUUUGUGAGCCAUUUCAUUAAAAA
Small nuclear RNA from Monodelphis domestica (gray short-tailed opossum), 107 nucleotides. Lineage: Eukaryota; Metazoa; Chordata; Mammalia; Didelphimorphia; Didelphidae. The record is from Ensembl.